RNAcentral lists this ribosomal RNA (261 nucleotides) under uncultured bacterium. RNAcentral describes it as "partial 16S ribosomal RNA". It matches the Rfam family "Bacterial small subunit ribosomal RNA", at positions 94 to 353 of the family's 1533-position model. The record is from RNAcentral.
AGUGGCGGACGGGUGAGUAACGCGUGGGUAACCUGCCCUGUACAGGGGGAUAACAGCCGGAAACGGCUGCUAAUACCGCAUAAGCGCACGAGGAGACAUCUCCUUGUGUGAAAAACUCCGGUGGUACAGGAUGGGCCCGCGUCUGAUUAGCUGGUUGGCAGGGUAACGGCCUACCAAGGCAACGAUCAGUAGCCGGUCUGAGAGGAUGAACGGCCACAUUGGAACUGAGACACGGUCCAAACUCCUACGGGAGGCAGCAUG